This is a long non-coding RNA of Gopherus flavomarginatus (Mexican gopher tortoise), 765 nucleotides long. RefSeq lists it as uncharacterized. NCBI's taxonomy places the organism in Eukaryota, Metazoa, Chordata, Testudines, Testudinidae. The transcript has 5 exons. The record is from RefSeq and is a predicted model, not a curated record.
CUGAAGUUGGCUGCUUGGGAUGUGGGUGAGACCCCAGGGAGCUGGGGGUUGGGCUGCAGCCCUGUCACUGCAGCCUGGGGCCCUCCGUUUCCUCUGGAAAAGCUGCUCCCUCUUUCACCAUCUCCUCUCAGGCUGAGUCCCAGGGACCCUGCACAGGCGUCUGCAGGGCAGGACGGGCCCUGAAAUCUGGCAGCUGGGAGGUUUGCAGCAGUUUCUAACCCUCCCUCCCCUGCUUCUUCCAGGAGGUACCACAAAAGUGUCUGACCCCUUUGGGAAAAGAGAGAGAAGCAGCCAAAGCCGAGGAAGAGCAGCAAAGCGAGGAGCUGCUGAAACAGACAGAAACCGAGAGGCAGAAGAUUGUCUGGGAGUGGAAGGAGCUGCGAGGGCUUCUGGGGGAGCAGGAGCAGCCGCUGCUGUCCCGGCUGGAGGAGCUAGAGAGAGCCAUUGUCCAGAGAAGGGAUGAGGGCGUCUGCAGCCUGUAAUGGGAGAUUUCCCUGCUCAGCGAGAGGGGAGGAGAGAAGGGGCAGCAGCCGCUGAGCCAGUCCCUGCAGGGUGCUGGGAGCACUGGGGGCAGGGAGGACAGGACGUUUCGGAAGCCAGAGCCGUCGUUUGCAGAGCUGGAGAAGAGACUCAGCGAUUUCUCUCUGAAAAGUGCCAUGCUGCAGGAGGUGCUGCUGGGAUUCAAAGCCCAGCUCAGUGAGUCGCCCUUCCCCAUGGAGCAGCCCUGCGGGGCUGGCUCUGUCUGCAGCGGCUGCAUUAUCGGCC